RNAcentral lists this long non-coding RNA (1162 nucleotides) under Bemisia tabaci. RNAcentral describes it as "lncRNA ENSSSA2NGG002957". The record is from RNAcentral. Lineage: Eukaryota; Metazoa; Arthropoda; Insecta; Hemiptera; Aleyrodidae.
AUUAUUUCCUCCUAACCGAGGGAUAGAUCGACGUCUUCGCUGCGGUAUGGAAACCUUCCGUUUCGCUAAGUAAAGUUUGUGGAAAUAAGAUAAGUUUACUACUCAUCUUUAAUGCGUUUGCUCUUGCUUCUUGAAAAGCUCACGAUAGCAAAUAUCGGAGAAUGAAAAAUGUCAAUGUUACAGCAUUACAGCAGUUUCAGAACGGUACUUGAAGAUAACUUCUGAAUGUUGAAUGGUUUGUCGGUUUCUCACGGACUUGUGCGGCGGAAAACGAAGCCAUGGGAUCCGAGUCUAAGUUGAGGAAGACACCCCCACGGUUGCCAUAUUUCACCCCGAAAGCAAGAGAGAACAAACCUGCGUCGGAUCUAGUGAAAACGAAAUCACCAUCAAAAUUUUCAUGGAAUCGUAUUACUAGUAACAUUCGGAGAUCCUUCACAGGUUCCGGAUCACUACCUCGAAGCGAGUCACUUUGUUCGAACAACUCUUUCAACUCCAUGUGCUCCAGCACUGGGAAACUCGUCAGUUCUUCAACCAAAGGUACAGUACGUUGCUUAAUGUUAUGAAUACAUUUUAAGGUAAGGAACCCGAGGAGCGUCUUCCUGCACUGCCGUGCACUGAAAAAAAUUCUCGGCGUUUUUACCAAGGUCCGUUGGUACCUUUACCAUCUCACUUUUUUUACCAAUUAUUGGUAAUUUUACCAAGACAGACUGGUAAGCUUACCGAAAAACCGGUAUUUUUACUGUUUUUUCCGGUAAGAAUACCACUUUUAUUGGUAAUCAAUUCCCGGUAACUUUGCCAUUUUUUCUCGGUAAUUCUACCACAGUCGAUAAAAAAUAUUAGCGUUUUUACCAAGAUCUAGUAAAAUUACUGAGAAAGUUCAAUAAUUUUACCGAGAUUUCUCUGUAAAAUUACCAAUUCCAUAAAUGGUAAUUUUACCAAGAAAAAACUGGGAUCAAAUAGAACCCUGAAUUCUUGGUAAUUUUACCCUUUUCUUAGUAAAUACACCGAUAUUUUUUUUUUCAGUGUGAUAGCGAAGAGAGCCGUAAGUGCAAAAUUUUCGAAAUCGAGUUUUCUUCAAAAUUAGUCAUAAACUCUUUUAGAUGAAAUUACCGAGACAUUAAAACUACAAAAUUCAUCCUAAUUUAAUGAAAACGAGACGUAU